AGCUGUUAAUGCCUCAGCAGCUCCACCUCCCCCAUGGGCUAAUGGGUCGCCGUCGCUGUCAUCAUCAUCACCACCCCCGUUGCUCCCCAGUUGAAAUUGUCUGAGCAGGAGCAUAACGGUAUUCAAAUUUUUGCAGCAAUGAGGAGGAAUGGCGAUUGACAGAUUUCACACACAGUGUGAGAGGCAAGGGUAAAGUUGCUAUCGAGAACUCAAUUCCAACAUUAUGAAGGAGGAGGGUACGUGGUGUUUUGGCCGGACACUGUAUAGGAGAUUCAUUUCAAAUGCAAGAAGGCGGUUACUUAUUGCCGUUCUCCUGUUCCCAUGAUUCGCUGCUUCCAUUAGUCCCAGUAAGUUCGUAUCGGCAGUAAAAUUCGGAUCUCGUCCCUGCACGUGAACAAUAGUUUACUCUGUUGUAAUAGACGUGUUCCUUCGGGCAGUUAGCUCGUCCAAGAUUAUCAUCCUUAUCCGCAUAAUCUGUUCAUGCACUAAAAGCCCAUGUUGGAUUGCCUUAAACUUCGUUCAUACUCUCGAAACUUUUUUUCCGAGUA
Molecule: long non-coding RNA, 548 nt
Organism: Syzygium oleosum
Lineage: Eukaryota; Viridiplantae; Streptophyta; Magnoliopsida; Myrtales; Myrtaceae
Exons: 2
Source: RefSeq, a predicted model, not a curated record